AAAAAUUUAGUUAAAUUCAUAACAUUAGCUUGUCAAGCUAAAAUUAUUAUAAAAUAAUUUUUA
RNAcentral lists this transfer RNA (63 nucleotides) under Sciobius sp. SCI01. RNAcentral describes it as "tRNA-Asp". The record is from RNAcentral. Lineage: Eukaryota; Metazoa; Arthropoda; Insecta; Coleoptera; Curculionidae.